Molecule: transfer RNA, 76 nt
Filed under: Fictibacillus aquaticus
Lineage: Bacteria; Bacillati; Bacillota; Bacilli; Caryophanales; Fictibacillaceae
Description: tRNA-Ala
Rfam family: tRNA
About the family: Transfer RNA (tRNA) molecules are approximately 80 nucleotides in length. Their secondary structure includes four short double-helical elements and three loops (D, anti-codon, and T loops).
Source: RNAcentral
GGGCCCUUAGCUCAGCUGGGAGAGCGCUACGCUGGCAGCGUAGAGGUCGUCGGUUCGAUCCCGAUAGGGUCCACCA